GCGACCGCCCCGCCGGGAGGCCCUGCACGCACGCGCCGCCGGCCGGGCCAGAUGACCAGAGGAGGGACGCCACCUGGUGGUAAGAGUGUGGAGUGAGCAUUGAGUUCCCUUCUCAAAAUUUGCCUCCAGUAAACAAAAUAAUCCUGCCUUCUAGUCAACCCUAUCAAAGAGCUGAGCAUCAGGGAAAAACUCCGAUCUCCAGGAACAAAUGACAAAAAAAAAAAAAAGUAGAAGGCACUGUUUCCAAAUGGAGCAGAGGAACUGAAAUCCAAGUUAGAGACAUGAUCUAUAAACACACAGGAAAGCAACCAAAAGAAAGCUUGGAUUUGCUCAUCAUUUCAUCUAAAUGUAGUGAUAAUAAUAAUGACUUUCCACUUACUGCGUAAUACUACGUUCCAGAUGCAUGGGUACACUGUGCUGUGUGCUGAACAUAUUUAAUCUCCUUUAAUUCUCAGCAACAACCUUAUAAGGGAGAUAUUACUAUACCCAUUUUAUGGGGAACAAAUGUCAGUUCAGAAAGUUUGAGUAACUCCCAGGAUCACACAGCCAGGACCUGACAAGCUGGGAUUUGACUUCAGGUCUGUGGACUCUGAAACUCAUGAUAUUAACCAUUAGGUUAGACACCUGAUAGAUAUGGCCAUUCAACAGGUUGAAAGUGGAUCUCAUCAUCUUUGCUUCUCUUCCUCCUCCACUUCACACCUCAGCGAACAGCACAACCUGUCCUCCCCACACCUAUCCAGUUGACCAAGCCAGACAUCCAGGCAGGCUGUACAGGAAGCAUGAUGCUGGCAUCUCCUUGGCUUCUGGGGAGGCCUCAGGAAACUUACAAUCAUGGUGGAAGGCAAAGGGGAAGUAGGCACGUCUUACAUGGCUGGAGCAGGCAGAAGAGAGGGAGCAGGGAGGUACUACACACUUUUAAACAACCAGCUCUCAUGAUCACUCAUUUACUCACUAUCACGAGAAACAGCACCAAGAGGAUGAUGCUAAACAUUCAUGAAAGACCAUCCCCAUGAUCCAAUCACCUCCCACUAGGCCUCACCUCCAACACUGGGGAUUACAAUUGACAUGAUAUUUGGGCAGGGACACAGAUCCAAACCAUGUCAUCCCUUUAAAGAAGUAAUUAAGGCUGGAUGUGGUGGCUUAUGCCUCUAAUCCCAGCACUUUGGGAGGCCAAGGGAGGAUGGCUUGCAGCUAGGAGUUGGAGACCAGCCUGAUCAACAUAGCAAUACCAUCUCUAAAAAAUAAAAAGUAACUAAGUUAAAGUACAGUCAUCAGGGUGGGCCCUAAUCCAAUGUGACUACUAUCCUUAUAAGAAGAAAUUAGGACACAGGAAACAGAGGGACAAAUGUGAAGACAUAGUGAGAAGGUGGCCAUCUGCAAGCCACGGAGAGAGGCCCCAGAAGAAACCAAGCUGCUGACAUCAUCAUCUUGGACUUCUCGCCUCCAGAACUGUGAGAAAAUACAUUUUCGUUGCUUCAGUCACCUAGUCUGGGGCAUUUUGUUACAGCAGCCCUAGCAAACUAAUACAAUCAAGAAAGGAAAUCAGACUCAGCAAGGCUGAGGGACCCACCUAGCGCUGUCUAGCUCCUUAGUAAUGCAUUCAUCACAUUCUGCCUGUGACCACUCUCUUAUGUUGAUUAUCAGAUAAAAUAAUGGAUUUAACUCUUAUUAUUUAACUUCUUGAGUGUUUGGGUCUUAUUGCUCCAACUGGCACUCAGGGUAAGGGGCCUUGUCUUCCCCUUCUCAGUAUUU
RNAcentral lists this long non-coding RNA (1752 nucleotides) under Homo sapiens (human). RNAcentral's name for it is "non-protein coding lnc-CCDC177-6:2". The record is from RNAcentral. Lineage: Eukaryota; Metazoa; Chordata; Mammalia; Primates; Hominidae.